This 450-nucleotide ribosomal RNA is filed under the name uncultured bacterium. RNAcentral's name for it is "bacterial SSU rRNA". It matches the Rfam family "Bacterial small subunit ribosomal RNA", at positions 124 to 559 of the family's 1533-position model. The record is from RNAcentral.
AUUUGCCGCGAAGUUGGGAACAACUCGUUGAAAGACGAGCUAAUACCUAAUGUGCUCCGCAAAGGGAGGUAAAAGCCGGGGGGACCCGAAAAGGGCCUGGCGCUUCGCGAUAAGCCCGCGGCCUAUCAGCUAGUUGGCGGGGUAAAAGCCCACCAAGGCUAAGACGGGUAGCUGGUCUGAGAGGACGACCAGCCACACUGGAACUGAGACACGGUCCAGACACCUACGGGUGGCAGCAGUCGAGAAUUUUUCACAAUGGGCGAAAGCCUGAUGGAGCGACGCCGCGUGGGGGAUGAAGGGCUUCGGCUCGUAAACCCCUGUCAUUUGCGAACAAAGGCGCCAACCUAACACGUUGUCGUCUGAUAGUAGCAGAAGAGGAAGGGACGGCUAACUCUGUGCCAGCAGCCGCGGUAAUACAGAGGUCCCAAGCGUUGUUCGGAUUCACUGGGC